This 253-nucleotide ribosomal RNA is filed under the name uncultured bacterium. Its description in RNAcentral is "partial 16S ribosomal RNA". It matches the Rfam family "Bacterial small subunit ribosomal RNA", at positions 524 to 776 of the family's 1533-position model. The record is from RNAcentral.
CACGUAGGGCGCAAGCGUUGUCCGGAAUUAUUGGGCGUAAAGAGCUCGUAGGCGGUCUGUUGCGUCUGCUGUGAAAACUCGGGGCUUAACCCCGAGCCUGCAGUGGAUACGGGCAGACUAGAGGUAGGUAGGGGAGAAUGGAAUUCCCGGUGUAGCGGUGAAAUGCGCAGAUAUCGGGAAGAACACCCGUGGCGAAGGCGGCUCUCUGGGACGGAACUGACGCUGAGACGCGAAAGCGUGGGGAGCGAACAGG